UACGAAGGGGGCGAGCGUUGUUCGGAAUUACUGGGCGUAAAGGGUGCGUAGGCGGCGCGGUAAGUCGGGUGUGAAAUUUCGAGGCUUAACUUCGAAACUGCAUUCGAUACUGCCGUGCUUGAGGACUGGAGAGGAGACUGGAAUUUACGGUGUAGCGGUGAAAUGCGUAGAUAUCGUAAGGAAGACCAGUGGCGAAGGCGGGUCUCUGGACAGUUCCUGACGCUGAGGCACGAAGGCCAGGGGAGCAAACGGG
RNAcentral lists this ribosomal RNA (253 nucleotides) under uncultured bacterium. Its description in RNAcentral is "partial 16S ribosomal RNA". It matches the Rfam family "Bacterial small subunit ribosomal RNA", at positions 524 to 776 of the family's 1533-position model. The record is from RNAcentral.